RNAcentral lists this ribosomal RNA (381 nucleotides) under Triticum aestivum (bread wheat). RNAcentral describes it as "partial small subunit ribosomal RNA". The record is from RNAcentral. Lineage: Eukaryota; Viridiplantae; Streptophyta; Magnoliopsida; Poales; Poaceae.
AUGCCCUGGCUCAUAAUAGGUGACCUGAAUGAGAUAUUGUAUCCUUUUGAGAAAGGAGGGAGCCAAAGACCCCAACAUUACAUGCAAGCAUUCAGGAAAGCUUUGGAUGACUGUAAUUUAUCAGACUUUGGUUAUGUAGGAGAAAAAUUCACGUGGCACAGGGGAAAAAUUAGGGAACGACUAGAUCGUGCUUUAUCAAAUGAGUCUUGGAACCAGAAGUUUGUGGAUGCAACACUGAGAAACCUGGAAUAUAGCCGGUCAGAUCAUUGGCCUAUCCUAAUGAACACCCAUGCAAUGUCUAACCAUGACAAGCCUGGGCCGUCUGUCUUGCAUUUCGAGGCGAAGUGGCUAAAGGAGGCCCGGUUCCGACAUGUGGUGUAA